This 458-nucleotide ribosomal RNA is filed under the name uncultured bacterium. Its description in RNAcentral is "partial 16S ribosomal RNA". It matches the Rfam family "Bacterial small subunit ribosomal RNA", at positions 29 to 507 of the family's 1533-position model. The record is from RNAcentral.
AACGAACGCUGGCGGCAGGCUUAACACAUGCAAGUCGAGCGAGACCUUCGGGUCUAGCGGCGGACGGGUGAGUAACGCGUGGGAACGUGCCCUUCUCUACGGAAUAGCCCCGGGAAACUGGGAGUAAUACCGUAUACGCCCUUUGGGGGAAAGAUUUAUCGGAGAAGGAUCGGCCCGCGUUGGAUUAGGUAGUUGGUGGGGUAAUGGCCCACCAAGCCGACGAUCCAUAGCUGGUUUGAGAGGAUGAUAGGCCACACUGGGACUGAGACACGGCCCAGACGCCGACGGGAGGCAGAAGGAGGGAAUCGUCCGCAAUGGGGGAAAGCCUGACGGAGCAACGCCGCGUGAGUGAUGAAGGGCUUCGGAUCGUGAAACUCUGUGAGUAGGGAAGAACAAAGGUGUAAGUAACUAUGCACGUCUGGACGGUACCUAAGCAGAAAGCCACGGCUAACUACGUG